This is a long non-coding RNA of Acinonyx jubatus (cheetah), 5097 nucleotides long. RefSeq lists it as uncharacterized. Lineage: Eukaryota; Metazoa; Chordata; Mammalia; Carnivora; Felidae. The transcript has 4 exons. The record is from RefSeq and is a predicted model, not a curated record.
GGCAGAGAGAGAGAGGGUGACACAGAAUCCAGAGAGCAGGCUCCAGGCUCCGAGCUGUCAGCACAGAGUCCGAUGCGGGGCUGGAACACACAAGCCGUGAGGUCAUGACCUGAGCCGAAGUCGGACGCUCAACCGACUGAGCCACCCAGGCGCCCCUUCUUGCGCUUCUGUUUAGUGAGCACUUGCUAUGUACCGCAUGAAUGCACAGAACAUAUUUCACAAUAAAUAUCACCUCUUGUUUUUGUCAUUAGGGUUCACACUGCACCCCCCCCAGCCCCCCCACACACAUGGGCCCACAUGGCCCUGUGUGAUCUAUCCUGAGCCACCUGCCUGACCACCUCCCACCCCCUUCCUCUCCCUCACAGGCUCCAGCAGCACUAGUUUCCUUGCUGCAAGCUCGCUCCUGCUUCAGAGACUUGGCAUCUAGCAUUCCUUCUGUCCGGAUUGCUUACCCACUUCCCUCAGUUCCCGCCUCAAAUAUUUCUCAAAACCUGUGCUAUGCCCUCUUCAUAAAUGAUCUCAUUUCGUCCUCAGCAAUCCUAUGAGGUAGGUACCAUGUUGGGUUAAGCACCUAUGAAAUUGCCAGUAUUUGACCAUUUGACUUACCGGAAAGCAACUUCCUAUUGUUCAACCUAAUAUUAUGCCUAUUUUACAGAGGAAGGAAUUGGGCCUUAAAUAAUUUGGCCAAGGUCACACUGUUAUGAAGCGGCAGGGACAGGAUUCAGUCUUAGACCUCUUUUAUCCUAAGGUCCACACCCUUAAUGUCUAACCAUUUGCCCCCAGACCUUCCCUGUUUCUUUCUUGGAUUUUUGUCCUUCCAUUUGGUCAAGGAGCAUGACAUACCCUCUACGAAGCUGGGGUACCAAGAAACUGAAACACUAAUGUUCCCACUUGAAGAGCCUCGAGCCUUCCAGUCAACACAGAGGCUGCCUACCUGGAUCUUUCCUGUCUCUGCUAUCUGGCUCCAAGCCGCUGAUGACUGACAGCUGUGGGAAGAAUGGAUGAACUGGGGACAGAACCCGAACAAGGAAAACCAUUUCAGAGGCCAUCGCGUUCGCCCCGGUGAGAAAUGCUGUUCGCUUGGCCUGGCCUGUGCCGGUGGCAGUGGAGGGAGACAGAAAAGAACCAAUUCAAUAGGUAUUGUGGAUGUAUCUGUACCAGCUGGCAACCUGCCUCUGGGGGUGAGCUGAGCAGGUGCUCCAGGUGGUCUAUCCUACGGCCUCGGCCAUACAGCUAGUGGGCCAAAUGACUCUAAAAUCCUUCCCAACUCGAUGAUUCUAUUGAUCUAGAACACCAACGACAUGGCUAUGGCUAUGGGUAGAAAUACGCACUGUUUGAUAGUUGUGACCCAUGCCCAUGCACGUGGUCAUUUUUGAGCCUCAUAGCAAUCCUGGGAGGUACAUAUUAUUUUUUCCACUUUAAAAAUUAGAAAAUUCAGGCCCAGAGAGUUUAAAUGAUGGAUCCAAACACUGACCAAAUCCAAUGGCUCUUGGGUUCAAAUGCAAGUCUUUUGACUCCAGAACCCACCUGUUUCUUCUAUCAUGAGAGUAGAUAAAUCUUCUGAGCAGAAGUGCCAAGGAGACCAUAAAGUUGAGACUAAUAAAAUCAAUGCUAUUAUUUUAAAAUAAGUAUCUGUAUUAUUAAACUGAUACAAGUGUAAUUAUAACAACGCCCUGUACUCGAGUGCUUACUCUGUGUAAGGACUAUUGAAACACCAAGUGUAUAAUCAUAAUCGGUCCUCACAAGAACCCAGGGAGGGAGGUACUAUUAUUAUCUCCGUAUCAUAUAUAGAGAAACUGCAGUAUAGUGGUUAAAUAUAUUGCCCAAGUUCACACAGCUAGUUAGCUGUGGAACUGGAAUUAAAACCCAGGCCACUUAGACACCUGAGUCCUUUGGGCUAAAUGGCCUCCCAAGAAAGAAUAUAUACACAGGUGAUAUUAUAUGCAUAGGAAGCUUCUGAAACUCCCUGUAGGAAGGAAGACCAGAAGCUAGAAUGGGAAGGAAGAUUCUAGCUUUCACUGUCUGCCCUUUUGUAUUUUUUCCACUAUAGUGACUGAGACUGCCAGCAGGCCACCAAUAUCCAUUCUCCCCUUCUUCCUUUAAUUAUAAGAAUCCUGAGUGUUAGCUAGGCCUGUGGGAACCCAUCCUGAGUGUAUACUCCCCAGCCUCCUCUAUAGUAAUAGGUAUGGCCAUGUGACUAAGUUCUAGCCAGCAGAAAGGAUAUAUGUAAAUCCUGGGCCAUGUCCUUACAAGGAAUGGAGAAAGGUUACCCUAGCCUUUUUCCCUCUGGAUCGCUGGGAUGUAGCUAUGAUGACAGGAGCUCAAGCAGCCACCUUGGACCUAGAGACAGAAGCAAUAUACUGAGGAUAAGAGAGCUACCUUACUAAAUUGGGGAACUCUAUUUCUGGAAUUUUACCUGAGGAAAAAAAAAUCAAACUUGUAUCAUAUUUAAACCACUAUAUUUUUAGGUCUAUUUUUAACAAGUUUCUGCCGUAUCUAACACACCUACGCAUACAUUGCCUUUUUCAAGGAAAAAACUAAUUAAAAGGGGUGCCUGGGCCGCUCAGUCGGUUAAGCAUCUGACUUCAGCUCAGCUCAUGAUCCCACAGCUUGUGAGUUCAACCCCCAUGUUGGGCUCUGUGCGGACAGCUCAGAGCCUGGAGCCUGCUUCAGAUUCUGUCUCCCUCUCUCUGCCCCUCCCCCACUUGCGCCUGUGCUCGCUCUCUCUCUCUCAAAUAUAAAUAAACAUUAACAAAAUUUUUUUAAACUAACUUAAAAAAUCAUGACAUAUGGAACAUAGCCACAAUUAUAUAUUUGAGAUAAUUAUUCAGUGAAAUAGUAGUAAGUACUUAAAAACAGCUCUCCAGGGCAGGGAAAAGCCCUGAUUUGUAGCAUUUUCCAAUUUUCCUGGUGUAAAUACUCUUCCAGGGCUGAUUUCAAGCUACCAAUGUGAGGUCACUGAGCACAGAGUUGGGAAGAGAGGGUACACACUUGGCUCCCAAGAGUUAACAGGAACUAACUCUAGCAUACCACCACAAUUAUCCCUAUAACCUUUGGAGGAAAUGCUUUAAAUACUAACUGCGACAAAAUCUGGACAUGAUCAAAUAGGAUUCUAAGCAGCCUCUGGUAUAGACGAAUAGAAGGAUUUUUUAAAGUAUUUUUUUCUAACUGGAAGACAUUGCUCAAGUCAGAAAAAUCUUACAAAACAUGAAAGAUAUUUAAUUUUACUUCUCAAACGAUGGGUUUGGACUCUACAUAAGUUUCAUACUGCAAUAGAAAAGAUGAAAGCUAGAAAUGAUGUUGGGAACACACAGUCCUUUAACAACCAUUAAUCAUACCUACUAGCAUGGGAGGGAAAGAGGGAAAUCAAAUAUGGCCCCUGCAAACAUUGGUGGCUUCAAUAUGCAGUGUCUAGAAAUGAGGCUCCAUUUCCGAGUUGUAAGAUUAUGAAGAUUAAGGAGAGUAUUUCUCUCUGUCCAACGCCACAAAUUAAAAUGAAGUCUUCCUUAUUAGUAUUUUAGCUCAGUUUUGCAGAAAUGAAAUUCUCUCGUCCUAAGGGAGCAAUGGCAAGUUCUACCAAGAACGUACUGUGCAGGAGGAAGAAGAAGGUGGGUACGUUUGGGAAGGGCUGCCACACGGAGCAAUUGCCACAGUUACAGGAUUUUUAAAUCUCGAAGACAGUGAGAUUACAAUAGCAAAUGCUGGAAACGUGUGGGGCUUCAAACGUUUCCCUAGGGAAAUGAUGGAAGCCCUAUUGCCUCAUGGAACCUCACAGAUAAAUUCCAAAGAAUCUGAGCCCAUCCUCAUCAGUCUGUCAAAUUUCCACAGACCCUCUUCCCACAAACCAGUGCUAAAACAAAAAAGAUACCUAGGUGAGAAGAGCUAAGGAAAUGCUGUCUCAGAGUCUGAAUUCUUCUUUUACUUAAAACAAUCCUCUACUCCUAGAACUUGCCUUAUUAGAGCUAGAAUCAAGUGGUUUAAUCCAUGGCUCUGAAAACAAAGUCUGGUCAGGACGGAAUCCAAACAUCUGAGAUCCGCACGAAUAAAUGUCCCCGGGGGUGACUAUUGCAUCUGGAAGGGUAGGAGCCAUUUCUACUCUCUAGGAGUUGCACAGAAAGGAAAGGAGAAGCAUGUUGGAUUCCAGGCUGUCUUGCUCCUGGUGUCUGAUGUCAUUGCAGAGGCCACCAGUGGCCCAGAGUAAGUCCAGCUGGCAGAUGGACUGCAUAGCCUACAGGGCUACCCUGGGCUUAUCUUCUUGGCUGCAAGCCUCUGAGCUGUGGGUCUCUGUCUGAGCGGCCGGAUUCCAUACCCAAGCAGAGGCUGCACACUACCGGUGACAUCCAACCAGUCGGCAAUGAGCUCUGGGCAAUUCUUCCAAGAGACUAGAUGGACACCUGGAGCCAAACUUUAUCAGACUCACUGAAGUUUGACCCUUAUAAACAGUUCAGUUCUCCAGAGUUUUCUGGCUUGCAUGUGGUUGGAAGUGGGACCGUGCCAAGUUCCGAGUCCAGCUUUGAAACGUUUAUCCUGUACCACCUGCUCCAAAACACGAGGUUUGUGUCAUGAUCUCAGUUAUAAUUCACAAAGAAGCUGGAAGAUGUUUGGCCUUUGAAAAGGAACACCCCUCUCUUCAUACCCAUGACAUUAACCAAGAUUACCAAGAUUCUGAAGUCUGAAAAGGGGAUUGCAUCUACUCCUCUGGCUUCAACUAUCACCUAUACCCUGAUUACUCCCAGAUUUUAAUCUCUGGCCCAGAUCUUUAUCUCCUGGGCUCCAGACCUGAAAUUUCAACUGCCUCCUGGGCAUCUCUAUUUGGAAGUCCCACAGGUAAUCUUAUCUUUAUAGGUCCUAAAUCAAAUUUGGCAUUUUAUUUCUCUACACCGAAACCUGCUGCCUCCCUAUGGCCCCUACCUUGGGCAAUUGGGUCUUGUUUCAUCCAGUGAAUCAAGCCAGAACCUGGCAGCCCUCCUCCACAUCUCUCUUUCUCAUGCCUCCAUCCAAUGAAUUGCCAAAUUCUGUUGUUUCUUGGUAUUUCUUCCUUCCUUCCUUCCUUCCUUCCUUCCUUCCUUCCUUCCUUCCUUUCUUUCUUUCUUUCUU